This 105-nucleotide non-coding RNA is filed under the name Atopomonas hussainii. RNAcentral's name for it is "Pseudomonas hussainii TPP sequence". It matches the Rfam family "TPP riboswitch aptamer (THI element)". From Rfam's summary of the family: Vitamin B(1) in its active form thiamin pyrophosphate (TPP) is an essential coenzyme that is synthesised by coupling of pyrimidine and thiazole moieties in bacteria. The record is from Rfam by way of RNAcentral. Lineage: Bacteria; Pseudomonadati; Pseudomonadota; Gammaproteobacteria; Pseudomonadales; Pseudomonadaceae.
CGCGUCUUGUCGGGGUGCCUAGUUGUAGGCUGAGAUCGGUGCAUACCGGAGCCCGUUGAACCUGAUCGGGUUAAUCCCCGCGGAGGAAACAAGCACCGCCUGCCG